UACGUAGGUGGCAAGCGUUGUCCGGAAUUAUUGGGCGUAAAGCGUGCGUAGACGGUUAUGUAAGUCGGGGGUGAAAGCCCCGGGCUCAACCUGGCAAUGCCAUUCGAGACUGCAUAGCUAGGGUGCGGAAGAGGGAAGCGGAAUUUCCGGUGUAGCGGUGAAAUGCGUAGAUAUCGGAAGGAACACCAGUGGCGAAAGCGGCUUCCUGGUCCAGCACCGACGUUCAGGCACGAAAGCGUGGGGAGCAAACAGG
RNAcentral lists this ribosomal RNA (253 nucleotides) under uncultured bacterium. RNAcentral describes it as "partial 16S ribosomal RNA". It matches the Rfam family "Bacterial small subunit ribosomal RNA", at positions 524 to 776 of the family's 1533-position model. The record is from RNAcentral.